CGUAGGGGCGAGCGUUGUCCGGAAUUAUUGGGCGUAAAGAGCGUGUAGGCGGUUCGGUAAGUCUGCUGUGAAAUCUUGGGGCUCAACCCUGAGCGUGCAGCGGAUACUGCCGGGCUAGAGGGUGGUAGAGGCGAGUGGAAUUCCGAGUGUAGCGGUGAAAUGCGCAGAUAUUCGGAGGAACACCAGUAGCGAAGGCGGCUCGCUGGGCCACACCUGACGCUGAGACGCGAAAGCGUGGGAGCGAACAGGAUU
This 252-nucleotide ribosomal RNA is filed under the name uncultured bacterium. RNAcentral describes it as "partial 16S ribosomal RNA". It matches the Rfam family "Bacterial small subunit ribosomal RNA", at positions 526 to 779 of the family's 1533-position model. The record is from RNAcentral.